RNAcentral lists this ribosomal RNA (510 nucleotides) under uncultured bacterium. RNAcentral describes it as "partial 16S ribosomal RNA". It matches the Rfam family "Bacterial small subunit ribosomal RNA", at positions 28 to 507 of the family's 1533-position model. The record is from RNAcentral.
GACGAACGCUGGCGGCGUGCUUAACACAUGCAAGUCGAACGAAGAGCGAUGGAAGCUUGCUUCUAUCAAUCUUAGUGGCGCACGGGUGAGUAACGCGUAAUCAACCUGCCCUUCAGAGGGGGACAACAGUAGGAAACGACUGCUAAUACCGCAUACGAUCUAAUCUCGGCAUCGAGGAUGGAUGAAAGGUGGCCUCUACAUGUAAGCUAUCACUGAAGGGGGGGAUUGCGUCUGAUUAGCUAGUUGGAGGGGUAACGGCCCAACAAGGCGAUGAUCAGUAGCCGGGCUGAGAGGAUGAACGGCCACAUUGGGACUGAGACACGGCCCAGACUCCUACGGGAGGCAGCAGUGGGGAAUCUUCCGCAAUGGACGAAAGUCUUACGGAGCAACGCCGCGUGAGUUAUGACGGCCUUCGGGUUGUUAAGCUCUGUUAAUCGGGACGAAAGGCCUUCUUGCUAAUAGUGAGAAGUAUUGACGGUACCGGAAGAGAAAGCCACGGCUAACUACGUG